This 483-nucleotide ribosomal RNA is filed under the name uncultured bacterium. RNAcentral's name for it is "partial 16S ribosomal RNA". It matches the Rfam family "Bacterial small subunit ribosomal RNA", at positions 30 to 506 of the family's 1533-position model. The record is from RNAcentral.
AUUGAACGCUGGCGGCAUGCUUUACACAUGCAAGUCGAACGGCAGCGCGGGCUUCGGCCUGGCGGCGAGUGGCGAACGGGUGAGUAAUACAUCGGAACGUGCCCAGUAGUGGGGGAUAGCUCGGCGAAAGCCGGAUUAAUACCGCAUACGACCUGAGGGUGAAAGCGGGGGAUCUUCGGACCUCGCGCUAUUGGAGCGGCCGAUGGCAGAUUAGCUAGUUGGUGGUGUAAAGGCCUACCAAGGCGACGAUCUGUAGCUGGUCUGAGAGGACGACCAGCCACACUGGGACUGAGACACGGCCCAGACUCCUACGGGAGGCAGCAGUGGGGAAUUUUGGACAAUGGGCGAAAGCCUGAUCCAGCAAUGCCGCGUGUGUGAUGAAGGCCUUCGGGUUGUAAAGCACUUUUGGCGGGAACGAAAAGGACUGUGCCAAUACCACGGUUCGAUGACGGUACCCGCAGAAUAAGCACCGGCUAACUACGU